ACUGCUUCUCGGCCUUUUGGCUAAGAUCAGGUGUAGUAUCUAUUCUUAUCAGAAGUACGGCCUGGGUUCUCUUUAUUCUCGGACCCUAAACGUUAUGGAGAAUUUGUCAGGUUGUUAGUUAUCCCCACUCUAGACUAGGCAGGGACAGGAGAUUUACACCAUUCCCACUCUGCAUCUCUGCCCCAAA
Molecule: small nuclear RNA, 187 nt
Organism: Delphinapterus leucas (beluga whale)
Lineage: Eukaryota; Metazoa; Chordata; Mammalia; Artiodactyla; Monodontidae
Gene: U2
Rfam family: U2 spliceosomal RNA
About the family: U2 is a small nuclear RNA (snRNA) component of the spliceosome (involved in pre-mRNA splicing). Complementary binding between U2 snRNA (in an area lying towards the 5' end but 3' to hairpin I) and the branchpoint sequence (BPS) of the intron results the bulging out of an unpaired adenosine, on the BPS, which initiates a nucleophilic attack at the intronic 5' splice site, thus starting the first of two transesterification reactions that mediate splicing.
Source: Ensembl